RNAcentral lists this unclassified non-coding RNA (420 nucleotides) under Hevea brasiliensis (rubber tree). Lineage: Eukaryota; Viridiplantae; Streptophyta; Magnoliopsida; Malpighiales; Euphorbiaceae. The record is from RNAcentral.
ACAUUUAAAGAUGAAAACUUCAAAUUGGCACACAUUGGACCAGGAGUAGUCAGUAUGGCAAAUGCAGGUCCCAACACCAAUGGAAGUCAGUUCUUUAUUUGCACUGUCAAGACCCCAUGGCUGGAUCAGCGGCAUGUUGUUUUUGGACAAGUUUUAGAAGGCAUGGACAUUGUGAAGUUGAUAGAGUCACAAGAGACGGACAGAGGAGACCGUCCCAGAAAGAGGGUGGUGAUCAGUGACUGCGGUGAACUUCCGAUGUCUGCGGCAUGACAUUCAAGCUGUCCAUUUUCUUCAUUUACAAACUUCAAAUUAGUCUACCCCUUUCAAAGUAUUCUUGUUUGAUGACAUUGUAAUCGGUGGAAAAUAUUGAACAAGGAAAUUUUGUCCUCAGGAUUUUGUUUUAUCAUUUUAUGACACGGA